AUGUUUUCUAUCUAGCCUACCAACUUUUACCACCCACUAACCACCCACCUCUAACCAAUAAAUCAUUUAUUUUUCUUAGUAUAUGAGAUAAAAAAGUAAAUCAGAGCUAUAAAUUAGUACCGUAAGGGAAAGAUGAAAUAAAUGAAAUAUUUAAAAACACUAAAUAGCAGAGACCUCAACUCGUACCUUUUGCAUCAUGGCCUAACAAGUCCAAUCAGGCAAGACGAAUUUUAGUCUGACCCCCCGAAACUAAGUGAGCUACUCCGGGGCUACCAAUGUAAUCCCGUCUCUGUCGCAAAAGAGUGGGAAGACCCCCGAGUAGAGGCGAAAAACCUACCGAACCUAGUAAUAGCUGGUUGCUUAGGAAAAGGAUUUUAGUUCUUUCUUAAAAACGCCCUAACACCUCAUCCAAGUAGAUCUGAUUUUUAAGAAUUAUUCAAUAAAGGUACAGCUUUAUUGAAGAAGGAAACAGCCUAAACCUUAGGAUAAUGAUUAUAAUACCCAAGGAAAUUAAGACUAAGUAGGCCUAAAAGCAGCCACCUUAAAUAGCGUCAAAGCUUCACCUCAAUUCCUCUCCCUUAAUCCCAUUAAAAUAUCAAAAUCCAAUAUCACUACUAAGCUAUUCUAUAAUUGUAUAGAAGAAUUUAUGUUAGGACUAGUAACAAAGAACAACUUCUCUUAUAUAUAAGUUUAAAUCAGCUCGAAUACCUCCCUGAUAAUUAAUCAACCCUGAAUUCAUAGUAGUAACUUUCCCCCCCCCCAAAACCCUACUUUAAUUACUGUUAAUCAGACAUAUGAAUAUAAAAGAAAGAUGAAAGAAUUAAGAAGGAACUCGGCAAACACAAAUCCCGCCUGUUUACCAAAAACAUCGCCUUUUGAAUAAUAUAAAAGGUAACGCCUGCCCAGUGACUCUAUGUUCAACGGCCGCGGUAUCCUGACCGCGCGAAGGUAGCGUAAUCAUUUGUCUUUUAAAUGGAGACUUGUAUGAAAGGCUUUACGAGGAUUUAACUGUCUCCUUAAUUUAAUCAGUGAAAUUGAUCUUCCCGUAAAAAAGCGGGAAUAAAACCAUAAGACGAGAAGACCCUAUGGAGCUUAAAACCUAAAACUACUUGUAUAACCUGUCUAUUAAGAAUCACCAAUAAACAAACCUAGUCUAAGUUUUCUGUUGGGGUGACUGUGGAGAAAAACUAAUCCUCCAUGAAGAACAAACUUAGAGCUACCGCUCUAAGUAUUAGUAAACCUAACUUUAAUUGAUCCAAUCUUUGAUCAACGGACCAAGUUACCCUAGGGAUAACAGCGCUAUCCAUUUCAAGAGUUCCUAUCGACAAAUGGGUUUACGACCUCGAUGUUGGAUUAGGACAUCCUAGUGGUGAAGCCGCUACUAAU
Molecule: ribosomal RNA, 1386 nt
Filed under: Leptobrachium ingeri
Lineage: Eukaryota; Metazoa; Chordata; Amphibia; Anura; Megophryidae
Description: partial 16S rRNA
Rfam family: Bacterial large subunit ribosomal RNA
Source: RNAcentral